GACGAACGCUGGCGGCGUGCUUAACACAUGCAAGUCGAACGGAAAGGCCCUGCUUUUGCGGGGUGCUCGAGUGGCGAACGGGUGAGUAACACGUGAGUAACCUGCCCUUGACUUUGGGAUAACUUCAGGAAACUGGGGCUAAUACCGGAUAGGAGCUCCUGCUGCAUGGUGGGGGUUGGAAAGAUUCGGCUGUUGGGGAUGGACUCGCGGCUUAUGAGCUAGUUGGGGGGGUAGUUGCUUACCAAGGCUUUGACGGGUAGCCGGCCUGAGAGGGUGGACGGGCACAAUAGGACUGAGAGAGGGAGCAGUCUGCAACGGGAGGCAGCGGGCGGGAGUAUUGCACAGUGGGCGGGAGUCAGAUGCGACGGCGCCCGGUUCGGAAUAACGGCUUUCGGGGUGUAAACAGCUUUCGACUGAGACAAGGAGGGAGUGACGGUACCGGGUCAAGAAGCACCGGCUAACUACGUG
RNAcentral lists this ribosomal RNA (468 nucleotides) under uncultured bacterium. Its description in RNAcentral is "partial 16S ribosomal RNA". It matches the Rfam family "Bacterial small subunit ribosomal RNA", at positions 28 to 507 of the family's 1533-position model. The record is from RNAcentral.